RNAcentral lists this ribosomal RNA (559 nucleotides) under uncultured bacterium. Its description in RNAcentral is "bacterial SSU rRNA". It matches the Rfam family "Bacterial small subunit ribosomal RNA", at positions 120 to 674 of the family's 1533-position model. The record is from RNAcentral.
GGGAAACUGCCCGAUGGAGGGGGAUAACUACUGGAAACGGUAGCUAAUACCGCAUAACGUCGCAAGACCAAAGUGGGGGACCUUCGGGCCUCACACCAUCGGAUGUGCCCAGAUGGGAUCAGCUAGUAGGUGGGGUAAUGGCUCACCUAGGCGACGAUCCCUAGCUGGUCUGAGAGGAUGACCAGCCACACUGGAACUGAGACACGGUCCAGACUCCUACGGGAGGCAGCAGUGGGGAAUAUUGCACAAUGGGCGCAAGCCUGAUGCAGCCAUGCCGCGUGUAUGAAGAAGGCCUUCGGGUUGUAAAGUACUUUCAGCGGGGAGGAAGGCGGUGGAGUUAAUAGCUUCACCGAUUGACGUUACCCGCAGAAGAAGCACCGGCUAACUCCGUGCCAGCAGCCGCGGUAAUACGGAGGGUGCAAGCGUUAAUCGGAAUUACUGGGCGUAAAGCGCACGCAGGCGGUCUGUCAAGUCGGAUGUGAAAUCCCCGGGCUUAACCUGGGAACUGCAUUCGAAACUGGCAGGCUAGAGUCUUGUAGAGGGGGGUAGAAUUCCAGGU